AGAGUUUGAUUCUGGCUCAGAACGAACGCUGGCGGCGUGGAUAAGACAUGCAAGUCGAACGGAUUUUCAACUGUAGCAAUACAGGUGGGAGUCAGUGGCGCAAGGGUGCGUAACACGUGGGCAACCUGCCCUGGAGUCUGGAAUAGCCCGCCGAAAGGCGGAUUAAUCCCGGAUGUGGCUACCGAAUGAUUAUUCGGGACGCUAAAGGUGGCGCAAGCUGCCGCUCCUGGAUGGGCCCGCGGCCUAUCAGCUAGUUGGUUGGGGUAACGGCCCACCAAGGCUAUGACGGGUAGCUGGUCUGAGAGGACGACCAGCCACACUGGAACUGAGACACGGUCCAGACACCUACGGGUGGCAGCAGUCGAGAAUUUUUCGCAAUGGGGGAAACCCUGACGGAGCGACGCCGCGUGGAGGAUGAAGGUCUUCGGAUUGUAAACUCCUGUCAUUGGUGAACAAAGCAUUGAGGUUAACUGCCUUGGUGCCUGCUAGUAGCCGAAGAGGAAGGGACGGCUAACUCUGUGCCAGCAGCCGCGGUAAUACAGAGGUCCCGAGCGUUGUUCGGAUUCAUUGGGCGUAAAGGGUGCGUAGGCGGUCUUCUAAGUUUGAUGUGAAAUCCCGGGGCUCAACCCUGGAAUUGCAUUGAAUACUGGAGGACUAGAGUACUGGAGAGGAAGCUGGAAUUUACGGUGUAGCAGUGAAAUGCGUAGAGAUCGUAAGGAAGACCAGUGGCGAAGGCGAGUUUCUGGACAGUAACUGACGCUGAGGCACGAAGGCCAGGGGAGCAAACGGGAUUAGAUACCCCGGUAGUCCUGGCAGUAAACGGUGCGCGUUUGGUGUGGGAGGAAUCGACCCCUUCCGUGCCGGAGCUAACGCGUUAAACGCGCCGCCUGGGGAGUACGGUCGCAAGAUUAAAACUCAAAGAAAUUGACGGGGGCCCGCACAAGCGGUGGAGUAUGUGGCUUAAUUCGAUCCACGCGAAGAACCUUACCUAGGCUUGACAUGCAUCUCUAAGGCGGUGAAAGCCGUCGAGUAUAGCAAUAUACAAUUUGCACAGGUGCUGCAUGGCUGUCGUCAGCUCGUGUCGUGAGAUGUUGGGUUAAGUCCCGCAACGAGCGCAACCCUUGUGAUCUGUUGCCACCGGCCUUUUGGCCGAGCACUCUGAUCAGACUGCCCUGUGAAACGGGGAGGAAGGUGAGGAUGACGUCAAGUCAGCAUGGCCCUUACGCCUAGGGCUGCACACGUACUACAAUGCACAGUACAGAAGGAGCCGAGACCGCGAGGUGGAGGAAAUCACGAAAACUGUGCCCAAUUCGGAUCGCAGGCUGCAACUCGCCUGCGUGAAGCCGGAAUCGCUAGUAAUGGCGCAUCAGCUACGGCGCCGUGAAUACGUUCCCGGGCCUUGUACACACCGCCCGUCACAUCAUGGGAGUCGUUUGUACCCGAAGCCGUCCGUGAGGGCGUCUAAGGUGUGAGCGGUAACUGGGAUGAAGUCGUAACAAGGUA
RNAcentral lists this ribosomal RNA (1503 nucleotides) under metagenome. RNAcentral's name for it is "bacterial SSU rRNA". It matches the Rfam family "Bacterial small subunit ribosomal RNA". The record is from RNAcentral.